RNAcentral lists this ribosomal RNA (292 nucleotides) under uncultured bacterium. Its description in RNAcentral is "partial 16S ribosomal RNA". It matches the Rfam family "Bacterial small subunit ribosomal RNA", at positions 505 to 796 of the family's 1533-position model. The record is from RNAcentral.
GUGCCAGCAGCCGCGGUAAUACAGAGGGGGCAAGCGUUAUUCGGAAUUAUUGGGCGUAAAGGGCGCGUAGGCGGUUUUUUAAGUCAGAUGUGUAAUCCCCGAGCUUAACUUGGGAACUGCAUCUGAGACUGGAAGGCUAGAGUACUGGAGAGGGUGGUGGAAUUCCUCGUGUAGCGGUGAAAUGCGUAGAGAUGAGGAGGAACACCAGUGGCGAAGGCGGCCACCUGGACAGUAACUGACGCUGAGGCGCGAAAGUGUGGGUAGCAAACAGGAUUAGAUACCCGCGUAGUCC